AACGAACGCUGGCGGCAUGCCUAACACAUGCCAGUCGAACGAGACCUUCGGGUCUAGUGGCGCACGGGUGCGUAACGCGUGGGAACCUGCCCUUAGGUCCGGAAUAACUCCCCGAAAGGGGUGCUAAUACCGGAUAAUGUCUUCGGACCAAAGAUUUAUCGCCUUUGGAUGGGCCCGCGUUGGAUUAGCUAGUUGGUAGGGUAAAAGCCUACCAAGGCGACGAUCCAUAGCUGGUCUGAGAGGAUGAUCAGCCACACUGGGACUGAGACACGGCCCAGACUCCUACGGGAGGCAGCAGUGGGGAAUAUUGGACAAUGGGCGAAAGCCUGAUCCAGCAAUGCCGCGUGAGUGAUGAAGGCCUUAGGGUUGUAAAGCUCUUUUACCCGGGAUGAUAAUGACAGUACCGGGAGAAUAAGCUCCGGCUAACUCCGUG
This 433-nucleotide ribosomal RNA is filed under the name uncultured bacterium. RNAcentral's name for it is "partial 16S ribosomal RNA". It matches the Rfam family "Bacterial small subunit ribosomal RNA", at positions 29 to 507 of the family's 1533-position model. The record is from RNAcentral.